Molecule: ribosomal RNA, 253 nt
Filed under: uncultured bacterium
Lineage: Bacteria
Description: partial 16S ribosomal RNA
Rfam family: Bacterial small subunit ribosomal RNA
Source: RNAcentral
UACGAAGGGGGCUAGCGUUGUUCGGAAUUACUGGGCGUAAAGCGCGCGCAGGCGGCUCUUCAAGUCAGGGGUGAAAGCCCAGAGCUCAACUCUGGAAUUGCCUUUGAGACUGUAGAGCUUGAGUACGGGAGAGGUGAGUGGAAUUCCCAGUGUAGAGGUGAAAUUCGUAGAUAUUGGGAAGAACACCGGUGGCGAAGGCGGCUCACUGGCCCGUUUCUGACGCUCAGGCGCGAAAGCGUGGGGAUCAAACAGG